This 161-nucleotide ribosomal RNA is filed under the name uncultured bacterium. RNAcentral describes it as "partial 16S rRNA". It matches the Rfam family "Bacterial small subunit ribosomal RNA", at positions 358 to 511 of the family's 1533-position model. The record is from RNAcentral.
GGAAUCUUCCACAAUGGACGCAAGUCUGAUGGAGCAACGCCGCGUGAGUGAAGAAGGGUUUCGGCUCGUAAAGCUCUGUUGUUAAAGAAGAACGUGGGUAAGAGUAACUGUUUACCCAGUGACGGUAUUUAACCAGAAAGGAACGGCUAAAUACGUGCCAG